UAAUUUUUUAUUUUCUUUUUAUUUUCUUUUUUCUUUUUCUUCCCAGGCCAUUUGUUAACUGUUCUCUUUCUUUGGAAUAAGUAUUAUUGCUUUUAAGAAAAUGUACUAUUUCAUUUAACGAUCUGUUGAUAUGUGCUUCAGUGUUUAUUUCAUAACAGUAGACGUAAUGUUAAAGUGGUAGAGCACCUUGAACUGAAGCUUUUUCAGGAUAUUCUGCUAAAACCUCAUUAUUACUGAGGAAAUUUUGUUGUUUUGUUAUUUGUUCUUUUUCUUCCUAACUACUAAGCACCAUUCCAAUGAAACAAUAGAGAAGAAUACUUUGCUGUAUUUAUUUAUUUAUUACUCAACUACAGCAAUGUUACCUGCUAUUACUGCAAUAGUCUUUUGGUUUUGCUUCAUUGUUUUUUGAUUUUUGUUUUUUUUUAAUUUGGCUUUCCUGGCAUUUUUUGUGUAGUUAGUGUGUUUACCAUAUUGGGAAAGGGGACAUUUCUCUACCAUCUCAGUCAUUCUCCCAUUAUAUCUGGAUUUUAAAUCUGUACUGAAACAGGUUGAGGAAUGGCUCUUUCAGUCGCUAUAGUAAAAAUGCAGUAGUGUGUCUUUCCUUUUCUUUCCUCUUGCUCACUAAAAUAUCAUAUUGCUAUGUUCACAAGAGGCCUACCAUAAGGGCCAGAGGGGCAAGGUUGUUUAGUUUUGUCGAAUGUAUCAAGUUUUUCUCAAAUAAUGUUAUGGCUGGAAAAGCAAAGUGGAAGGGUCAAGAGUUGAAUUUGUACUUUAUCAUUGAAAUCAGUGGUAGAACACAAUAGUAGCUUGAACUUAUUUUCCUGCUUUACUGACUUUCUGGAAAAUGUAUAGAAUUCAGUAAAAAACUGUGUACUCAACAUCCAUCAAACUCUGAUGGCUUCUUGGUCUUAGCCAUUCACUAUGUUAUAUGUUUCCUUCAACUUGUACUCAUUCUUGUUUAUUAACUUUUAUUCAUUGCACAAAAUAGGGAAAGGGGGAGCACUCGUAUGAUGCAAUGUCAUGCUUGCAUUGAUAAAUCUUUUUAUUUGUUUCCUUAAGAAAAAAAGAAAAAAAAAAAAAAAAAAAAAGAGAGAGAGAAAAGGACUAGCGUAAAUUUAACAAGUAUGUCCCUGAAUAUGUUUUUUUAAUAUAAGUCUGGGCUUGAUAACUUUCUUCUUUUGGGAUGAAUUUAAAACAUGUUUAAAAUCUGUCUCUCUGCUCAGGGAUUUAUGGUGGAUUAUUGCAGACAGUGCUAAAAAAUAAAAGAGCACAAAACAAGUUUACUAAAUUAAAAUUUUAUUUUUUGAAAAACUGUUAUUUGUAUAAAUUAUCAGAUUUGUAGGCUUUCCUUUUUGUAGAAAUAAUUGUUUACGUGCCAGAUAAGAGAAUUUCAAUUUUGUUUUCAAUAAUAAAGCAUUGAUAACUAACACAGUGUGCAUUCCUUUAUCUGUUACUGUAACAACUCUAUUUUUUCAAUUAUUAUUCUUAUGUAGUGAGUUACAUUGGCUGUUCGAGGUAUAAGAAAACCAUGUAGCUUAAGAUGUUUUGUAGCUGGCUUUUUCUGUAUUCUUUUUACCUCUAUUACUCAUUUGAUAUUUUCAGAAAGGUUCUCUGGAAGCAUUUUGAUAUCCCUAAUCACUAAUCACUAAUUCUUGCCAAAAGUGUUAUGGCAACUAUUACAUUUAAACUUUUUUUAAACUUCAUGGGAAUAAGAGCUUACAAAUAAGUUAUGCUUAUAAUUUAUUUUUAUAUUAAUAUACAAAUGUGACUUCACAUAAAUUGUUUCUAAAAUUUGUAGUUGUCUACAUAAGCUGAAAAGAAGUCUCGGCUUUACAUGCACUGACUUUUUAGUGUUUGAGAUCACCUUUCUCUGAUGCUAUGUUGUUACAUGAUUGAUUUUAAAAUCCACCUUAUUCCUACACAGGAGGUGUCAUGAAGAUAAAUGCUUCUUUGAUCCUCUGUGGAUUUUUUCCUUCAUCUUUCAUGGACAGACCCAUUUUAGUUCAGUGGACCCAACAGCAGUUUUCUGCUACCUACCUAGUCCUGUUGCAUUCAGGUACUGUGCAUUGAUGGAUUUGCUCUACAGUUGAAAAACAUCAAUGUACACAAGUACAGCACAAGAGAGGGUUUGGGUCACUGACUUCCAUACUUAAUUAUCAUUCCUGAUUUUUAUCAAAGGUCAAACUUUGCUUUCAGUCAUGAUCAUUCCUUACUUUUUAAUGAAAUGGUUUUAAUGAAAUGACGGAUGACAUAUACAAAGUUUCUUGCAUGCAAAGAAUAUGAUCUGCAUCACUGCUUUCUCAUGGAAACAGUCUAAAACUGCUUGAGCUCCAUUUUGCAAUCUUUUCCCUUAAUCUUUCUCUGUGAGAUCGUGUUCUGUCUGCCUUGUGUUUUGCUUCCAAUGUUCCUAUUCUUCGAAACAUUGCACCUCUCAGGUAGUAGAUACAUAAUAGCAUCUCCAUUUCUGAUGGAGGGACACAUCAGUUCCACACAGAAGUAAUUAAGCAGGAAGAAUGAGGUGGCUUUUUAAACCUGAUGUGUUGUACAGGCCCAUCUGGACUUGAUCUCUGUAGCUGGCACAGAUGGCUGUAUUACUUCUGGGGUUUGAGCUAGAAUAACAGUAAGUUGGUAAAUUAUUCCAUGUAAAUGCAUGUAAAUGGCUUGGGACUCUCUAGCGUGGCUGUGUGGUGUAAGCUUUCCCACAACAGCUUUGACCACCAGAGGUGAAUGGAGGUGACAUGGGAAAAUCAGACUCCAGUUCAGGUGUGAGAAUGGUAUUAAUGGCUGAAUUAAUUACUGUUAUUUUGUAGCAUCUCUGAAGGUUGCAAGGCAGUGAGGUAAUCUGAAGCGAUUUAGAAAGAAAAUGUGGAAAAUGUGAAGAGAAUCCCAUAUAAUCAUUUAUCUUUCUUAAACUUGCAUUUGUUGUUCUUUGAAAGUAAAAUUGAGACCGCCCAUUCAGAUGUUAUUCUUGUGGAUGGUGAGUUCUUAAUCUCUGUCUCUCUGAGGUUCACCAGUACAACACUAGAAGAAUGAGUUUUAAGGCACAGAAUGUAUCCCUUUUUAUGUAGGUAGUAGGAAGGGAAUUGUCAGGGAGGUAAUACAGACAUUUCUGUGGAAGUUAGUAGGAAUUUUGGAGGACAGACAGACAAUUACAACAACAAACAAGGAACUCCAAGAUCAAGAUAUACCAAGAUAAACUAAAAAGGGGGAGAAAAAAAGCAAUACAGACUAGAGGACAUACCAAUGUAUUCUACUUGAAAGAGUGAAUACAUACCACAAGUUAUUUCACUUGAUUAGAAAACCUUUAAGUAUGCAUAUGUAUUCAAAAAUGAAGUUGUUGUUUCUCUCUUCACCUUCUGUUCUUUCUUUUCUCAUUGUAUUUCCUCUGUCCUGGAGUGCUGGUUCUUUGAUACUAUUGCUGCUGUAGGUGGAUUCAGACAGCUUUGAAGAUUACAAAUGAGGAAACAUUUCAGAAGGCAGAAACAUCAGAGUGGACCUUUCAGAAAGUCAUAUGGAUGAUAUAGAGACCAGAAGAGGAGCUGCUUUCCCUGAAGCUAAAGACAGAGAGAAGUUUUGGUUGUGAACUGAGCUUUUACAUCAGUUUAGUGCCUCAUAGUAAAAGAUGUUAAAAAGAUUUAAAACUUGUUUUAUUUUUUAGGAAGUACUGUAAACUAUGGAGCAUUUAUGUCUAGACCAGGCAUGUUGCACCCACAGGCAGCAUGUGGCUCUGGGUGGCUUGAAAUGAAGCUCCACGAGAUAGUAAACUUUUCACACUAUUAUGUGAUUUUCAGUGAUAUUUUUCAUCAGUUGAUGUGCACAGUUUGAGUGCGGACUGCAUAGGUGACGAUGGAACUCUGUGGAGGAGUGCAGUGUUAACUCCACUUCUCCUGCUCACCACACACUCUCUUCACAUCAUGCACAUAUGUAUGCAUAUAUGUUCCACUUCCACUGUCAGCUGUUCUAAUCAUCUUCCCUGCCAUAUUUACCCAACUGUUCUGAACAGGCCAUUUACUCUAAGGUUUGUUCUGAUUGCUGUGAAAACAUUGCUCCAUUUAGCAUGGGAAGAAGAAAAAGAGGUCAAGCCAUGUGAAAUCAGACAUGUGCUACUCAACUCUCGGUAGUGAUACAUCAAUGUCAAUUAGAGGUAGCCUUAUAAAAGUGGCUUUUCUUUAACUUGAUGAAGUUGGUAAUUUUGAAAAAGAAGGAAUUGUGUCCUCUGCAAAUAGAAUAGUCAGUGUUCAGUUUUAAAGACUGAUUAGCCAAGGGUUUUUAUACUGUCCAGUGUAAUAAUAGUUUAAUAUUAAUAUUCUAUAUUUUUGAUGUUUAGUUAACUUGUUUCUUUCAUAAUAAUUUCAGUCACUGUACAUUUUUAAUCAAUUUUAUAAAUUUAGCUACAUUUGCAAUAUUUUUCAAAUUUAUUUGAGUGAUAACUAAUAAGAGAUGUCAUCAAACAGGUAAUUCUUCUUAUAUAUUUAUUUUAUUCCAAGGAAAGUUUUGGAAUAAGGACAAGGAAGGAGAAGGCUUUUUUUAUAUUGUUUUUUUAACACCGCUCAUGGGAAAAAGUUUUACCAAUUCAACAGGGAAAAGAAUGCUGGACAGAAAAUGUGGGAAGCUGCUCUGUAACCAUUUAAUUUAUUUCUCUAUUGCAAAAAUCUCGAGUGACAUUUCUGCUCUCAGAAUGGGACAGUAUACCGUGUUUUGGCAAAUCUCAAAAGUUCGCAUCCGUCUGGGCAGUUUCUUAUUCAGCAUCUCCAGAAGUGACAAGAUGAAAACGUCAUCUCCCAAACUUCCCUAACCUUAAUCUUCCCAUAACCUCACUUCUGCCACUGGCUAUUGUCCUUCCUUGCCCUGCUGUAUUCAUUGCUGACAGCACUGUUCCAAGAGCAGUGAUUUGUUUCUUCGACUUGGCUGUGAAGUACUCUUUUCUUUAAUGAAAAUGUGUAAAUAGAAGUAAUUAGUUUUUCUGCCUCAUUCAGGGAAGUAUUAGUAAGAAUAAACAGGAUAUACCAAUCUAACUUUUCAAUAUCUUACAGGAUUAAAAGAUUUUUAGCACAGAACUCCCUUUUUGCCUUUUAAAUGACAAGAAAAGGCAGCGAUACUUAAAAUGUAGAAUUGCCUCAUGCCUUUCAGAUUAGAGAAAGUCAGAAAGCUGUAGAAAUGGUAGAUGGACACACACUGAACAAGCAGCACUACUUGGUGUUGGAUUUCUACUUUUAAUUCAAGGUUGGGAUGAUAUAACUAUUCUCUGUACCUCGUAAGGGGAGUUGUACAGGUUCCAGCUGUCUGUUAAAUUAAGCAUAAGUGAUUAUUAUGAACAUGUAGAGCAGACAAGAGGGAUGAUAACUGUGCAUAUAAAAGCCGUAUGAGCCUACUUGAUUUGCAAAGUUGGAUACUCAAUUAGAAGAACUGAAGGAUUUUUUUUUUUUUUAAUUUUUUUUUGUAGUGCAGUCUCCCUCACUGCGAAGUUCAAUGUCCGGAAUAAUUGGCUCCAAUUCUUCCAUAUCAGAUAUAGUAAAUUCUGUGUUUUAAAUAGUGAAAUGCUGGAAAAGAUCCAGAUAGCUAUGUAUUUUAUUUAAAUGCUUUAAUAUGUUGAUACUUUUCUGGCAAUCACUUCCUCUGCUGGCUGCUUCUGUCUUGGUGGUACUUUGAAAAUCAAGAGACAAUAAAUCAGACUCUCUUAAAGAGAGAAGUUUUGUUUACUAUCGAAAACCAAACAGAACAAGACAUAGCACUGUAUGUGACAAACCUGGAAAGUAUACAUAAUUGUACUAUUUCAAACAGGAAGCUUCUGCAGGGCCUUUCUGCUUGUGAGCCUGUUAUAAAUAAGCAAAUCUUGUCAUUACAGUUUCUGUAGCUUUUCAGACAAUGCACCCCUCUUUCUGUUUAUCUAUCUAGUUUUAGGGAAGAAGUGCUGUCCCACUUGAAGGUGAAAAGUUUUGUCACUGAGCUGAGUGAAUACAAUUGCACUGUUGCUAGCUCUUUGGGAUAAGGACUUCUUUAUACAUUGUUUUCUUGAAUUGUUACUCUGAUUUCUUAGCAAAGUAUCAGGUGUUCUCAGAAUUGCUAUGCUCAGAAACCCCUAGAGGAAUUAGUUUUUCCGUUAGAGACUAUUGCCUCGUUCAGGCAAUGUGAAGUUGUGUUAUUACCAGCAUGAAGACAGGGAAGCUGCUUCGGAGCAUCAGUGCUGGAGCAGAGCGAUUGAUGGUUGCUAACACAGCGAGCUGUUGUUUUACAGUGCAAGGUCACAUUGCCAUAACAAGGAUAACAGGGACCAUUUGCAAAAGGAUAUUCUUGUGUAUAUGUGUGUUUUUAGGAAAAUACAUUCUCUCCAAGUGCCCAGAGGACUGUUUGUUGUUAUUAUGGCAGCACCCAGAUGAGAGCUAAACAGUCUUUCAGUUUAUCAAAUGCACAGUGAUAUUUAUUGCGUACUGAAUGAAUGUUAAAGCCUGAAGAGGAGGUGAUGUUUCUGUCUCUCCCGUGUAUAACCUCUCCUUCCAAUCUACAAAUAAAUAAAUAAAUAAAUAAAUAAAUAAAAAUAAAAGCAUUAUUUCUGGCAAUUUUCACUGUGACCUCUCUUACAACUGACUUCAACUACAUUUCACAGUCCAGUGAGCAAUGCUGUUAGAAAAUUGAUUUAAAACUGUAAUUAAUGUAGGAGGAAUAUAAACGUGAUUGAUGGGACAAAGCCAAGUAAUCAGGGUGGGUGAGAAGGGAGGGAAAGAAUCUCGACCUACAAUUUUUUGUGCUUUAGCAAUGUACAAAUAAAAUAUCAGAAACUAUUUUCUGAAAAUAUAACUUCUGAGUGUUAUGACUUUUAAAUGCACAAACACACACAAAAUGGAGAAUAAAAAUAUGACCUGCAUCCCAGAUAAAACCCAAGCUACUUGAAAUUGUAUGGGUUUUUGACAGAUACUAGUUAAUGUACGUGAAAGAAUUAUGCUGUCUCUUGAGAAUGAGGGUAUAAUGGACAUUUAGCCUUCUUUGUUAUUCUUUUCUUUUUUUACAUCCACUUGUAACAGCUCGUCUGUUAGUAAUUAAUUUUCUCUGACACAUACUUUAUGAACAACUUUUUCCUCUGAAAUGCUCAUCCUUUUGUGGAUUGUGUGUUAACUCUUAAGCGGGGAAAAAAAAAUAAAUAAAAAAAAAUCUAAUUGA
This is a non-coding RNA of Coturnix japonica (Japanese quail), 7155 nucleotides long. The record is from RefSeq and is a predicted model, not a curated record. Lineage: Eukaryota; Metazoa; Chordata; Aves; Galliformes; Phasianidae.